Regulatory RNA element from Astyanax mexicanus (Mexican tetra), 54 nucleotides. It matches the Rfam family "UnaL2 LINE 3' element". Rfam says of the family: The eel long interspersed element (LINE) UnaL2 and its partner short interspersed element (SINE) share a conserved 3' tail containing a stem-loop that is critical for their retrotransposition. Lineage: Eukaryota; Metazoa; Chordata; Actinopteri; Characiformes; Acestrorhamphidae. The record is from Rfam.
UCGAAGCACAGUUGUAAGUCGCUCUGGAUAAGGGCGUCUGCUAAAAACCUUAAA